This 497-nucleotide ribosomal RNA is filed under the name uncultured bacterium. RNAcentral describes it as "partial 16S ribosomal RNA". It matches the Rfam family "Bacterial small subunit ribosomal RNA", at positions 28 to 507 of the family's 1533-position model. The record is from RNAcentral.
GACGAACGCUGGCGGCGUGCCUAAUACAUGUAAGUAGAACGCUGAAGAGAGGAGCUUGCUCUUCUUGGAUGAGUUGCGAGCGGGUGAGUAACGCGUAGGUAACCUGCCUUGUAGCGGGGGAUAACUAUUGGAAACGAUAGCUAAUACCGCAUAACAAUGGAUGACACAUGUCAUUUAUUUGAAAGGGGCAAUUGCUCCACUACAAGAUGGACCUGCGUUGUAUUAGCUAGUAGGUGAGGUAAUGGCUCACCUAGGCGACGAUACAUAGCCGACCUGAGAGGGUGAUCGGCCACACUGGGACUGAGACACGGCCCAGACUCCUACGGGAGGCAGCAGUAGGGAAUCCUCGGCAAUGGGGGCAACCCUGACCGAGCAACGCCGCGUGAGUGAAGAAGGUUUUCGGAUCGUAAAGCUCUGUUGUAAGUCAAGAACGGGUGUGAGAGUGGAAAGUUCACACUGUGACGGUAGCUUACCAGAAAGGGACGGCUAACUACGUG